Molecule: unclassified non-coding RNA, 360 nt
Filed under: Hevea brasiliensis (rubber tree)
Lineage: Eukaryota; Viridiplantae; Streptophyta; Magnoliopsida; Malpighiales; Euphorbiaceae
Source: RNAcentral
GUGAGCGGACUGGAGAUGUCUUCGUCAUCUACCAGGCCGGCGUGUUCCCGGAGCAGCUCAGCACGGUCCAAGCAUAGCGCUCGCAUCGUCGCACAGACCACGCUAGAUGCUAAGCUGCACGCGGACUUCGAUGCCUCCACUUCCGUGGGAGCGGAGAACAGCGAUGCUCCGACUGCGUUGGUCUCCGCUUAUCUCCAGCAGAUGCAGCGCGGGCAGUAUAUCCAGCCGUUCGGUUGCAUUCUGGUUGUGCAGGAGAGUACGUUCGCUGUCAUCGCCUACAGCGAGAACGCCCCCGAGAUGCUCGAUCUAGCGCCUCACGCCGUCCCCAGCAUCGAGCAGUUGGAGGCUCUGACGAUCGGC